CGUUGCCGCCUUCAAUUGUGCCGUGGCCAUCUGGUCAGCCACAAGGAGAUCCAUUGCUGCGGUGACCCCAUUUGUGCUUGGAUUUGUGCCAAUGUUGUGUAUCAGUGAAUUCUGAGGCAGUGAGGGUUGUUGGACAGAUUUAUCAUCGUCGGAAGAGCCACAAACUGCUAAUAAGGAUUUUCUCAACAAAAUUGGUUGGUUCAUUAAUCUGUACAAGAGAAGCAAUUUAUCUCAUGAAAUUCGAAGACAGGGAGAGCAA
This is a long non-coding RNA of Zingiber officinale, 259 nucleotides long. RefSeq lists it as uncharacterized. The record is from RefSeq and is a predicted model, not a curated record. The transcript has 3 exons. Lineage: Eukaryota; Viridiplantae; Streptophyta; Magnoliopsida; Zingiberales; Zingiberaceae.